RNAcentral lists this ribosomal RNA (760 nucleotides) under uncultured bacterium. RNAcentral's name for it is "bacterial SSU rRNA". It matches the Rfam family "Bacterial small subunit ribosomal RNA", at positions 8 to 794 of the family's 1533-position model. The record is from RNAcentral.
AGAGUUUGAUCCUGGCUCAGAAUGAACGUUGGCGGCGUGGAUUAGGCAUGCAAGUCGUGCGAGAAAGAUCUGGUGCUUGCAUUGGAUCUGGACAGCGGCGAAAGGGAGAGUAACAUGUGGGUUACCUACCCCUGAGUACAGGAUAGCUGCGGGAAACUGCAGGUAAUACCGUAUAACAUCUCAGGAUCAAAGCUUCGGCGCUUGGGGACGGGCCCGCAUACUAUUAGCUUGUUGGUGGGGUAAUGGCCUACCAAGGCUAAGAUGGUUACCGGGUGUGAGAGCAUGGCCCGGCUCACUGGGACUGAGACACUGCCCAGACACCUCCGGGUGGCUGCAGUCGAGAAUCUUCGGCAAUGGACGAAAGUCUGACCGAGCGACGCCGCGUGCGGGAUGAAGGCCUUCGGGUUGUAAACCGCUGUCAGAGGGAAGGAAAUUUUGACCGAUCCUCAAAGGAAGUACGGGCUAAGUUCGUGCCAGCAGCCGCGGUAAGACGAACCGUACAAACGUUAUUCGGAAUCACUGGGCUUAAAGGGUGCGUAGGUGGUCUACUAAGUUGGGUGUGAAAUCCCUCGGCUCAACCGAGGAACUGCGCUCAAUACUGGUAGACUUGAGGGAGACAGAGGUGAGCGGAACUGAUGGUGGAGCGGUGAAAUGCGUUGAUAUCAUCGGGAACACCUGUGGCGAAAGCGGCUCACUGGGUCUCUUCUGACACUGAGGCACGAAAGCCAGGGGAGCGAACGGGAUUAGAUACCCUGGUAGU